CUCAGUUUUCUCUCAGUCCCCCAAAACCUCUUUCCUUGCUUCUGUAACCCCAUUCUCCUGUUCUUUUCAUCCCCUCAUUUGGCCCCUGACCCCAGGUAGCCUUAGGGCUAGUUCAGGUGGCACAUGAUCUGGAUGUAGGUCCCACCCUGGACCAGCUCCUGGGAGCAGCUGAUGCUCUACAAGCCCAGGUGUCACAAAAUAAACUACAGCUACAGGAGGCCCAGGAGCAAGCAGAACAAGCAUCAGACACAGCUGCGAACUUGGGCAAGGUGAGGCAGGGGCCUUCUUCCUGAUUACUACCAAGGUUUGCCAGGAUCAUGUGUCCUGGGAUACAGGGGCAGUACCCAGAAGAUGAGGGUUGCAGGAUAUCCCAGGAUGAAGGGGAGGGUAUCCUCAGGGUGAAAGGCCUUAGUCCUUUGAAUCCUUGGAGAGGUAGAGGGAGGCCUAGGAUAAAAAGUUCUCUAGUGGGAUGUGGCCUGGAGAACAGAGGCCUCAAGAUAUCCUAGUAUGGGAAUUGAUUCCCAGGUGGGUGGUUUCUGAAUGGUGUGGCAGGAACACAGAGAGUGAGGAGAGGGUUAGAAUUCCAAAAUGACUGGCCCUUUCUGGCCUUACCUCCCUCUUCCCACCUGGUUCUCCUUUGCCCCAAGGACCUGCAGACAGCCAAGCUACAGUUCUCAGAGCUACAGUCUGGGAUCAAUGGCCUUGGGGAUGAAGUGAAUGGGGCCAGACAUCGUUUGCAGCGAAUUCAGGCAGAAGCCAGAGAGCUGCUGAAGAAAGCAAGUAGGAGCCGAAACCGUCUAGAAGGCCUGGAGAAACGUUUUGCUCUGAAUGAGCAGGCACUUGGAGAGAAGGCAGCUGAGCUUCAGACCCUGGAGAGUAGAGCCCUGGGACUACUGGAGCAGCUGAGACAGGAGGCCAGUGCCCACGCCACCUGCUGAUGCGCCCACGCCCAGUAAAACAAAGAUACUCCCAAGAUAGAGCCUCUCCAGGACCUCCCUACGCCCCCAUCUGCCCCUGCAGAGGGACCCCUCCUCUCUCUGCACUGUGUAGGGGGACCCUGGACUCUCCCUCAUGAUACACCAAAAAAGAGGGCUAUUUUAUUUUUCAAUGCACAGAAAAUAAAUUU
RNAcentral lists this long non-coding RNA (1126 nucleotides) under Monodelphis domestica (gray short-tailed opossum). RNAcentral describes it as "lncRNA (ENSMODG00000040598.1)". The record is from RNAcentral. Lineage: Eukaryota; Metazoa; Chordata; Mammalia; Didelphimorphia; Didelphidae.